Molecule: unclassified non-coding RNA, 253 nt
Filed under: uncultured Pseudomonadaceae bacterium
Lineage: Bacteria; Pseudomonadati; Pseudomonadota; Gammaproteobacteria; Pseudomonadales; Pseudomonadaceae
Description: contains 16S-23S intergenic spacer region
Rfam family: Bacterial small subunit ribosomal RNA
Source: RNAcentral
UACAGAGGGUGCAAGCGUUACUUGGAAUUACUGGGCGUAAAGCGCGCGUAGGUGGAUUGUUAAGUUGGAUGUGAAAGCCCCGGGCUCAACCUGGGAACUGCAUCCAAAACUGGCAAGCUAGAGUACGGUAGAGGGUGGUGGAAUUUCCUGUGUGGCGGUGAAAUGCGUAGAUAUAGGAAGGAACACCAGUGGCGAAGGCGACCACCGGGACUGAUACUGACAGUGAGGUGCGAAAGCGCGGGGAGCAGACAGG